CAUUAAGAAGCUAACCAGCAUUAACCUUUUAAGUUAAAGAUUGGGAGACUCUACCUCCCCUUAAUGA
Molecule: transfer RNA, 67 nt
Filed under: Lophostoma silvicola (D'Orbigny's round-eared bat)
Lineage: Eukaryota; Metazoa; Chordata; Mammalia; Chiroptera; Phyllostomidae
Description: transfer RNA-Lys
Source: RNAcentral